Molecule: non-coding RNA, 2011 nt
Organism: Jatropha curcas
Lineage: Eukaryota; Viridiplantae; Streptophyta; Magnoliopsida; Malpighiales; Euphorbiaceae
Source: RefSeq, a predicted model, not a curated record
GUCAAAAUAAAAUUUAACAGUGUCAUAAGAUUAAAAUAACAAAGUUCAAAGAUGAAUUUAUAUAUUGAAUCUAAUAGUACAUGAGUUAAUAAAAGAUUUGAAAUUAAUUUAAACAUGCAUGAAUAAUGAAUCUAGUAAAGAAUACUGAACAAAAUAAAUAAAUGAAGCAGUCGCGCUAAGUUUCAUCAAAACAAAUAAAGCUAGUUUUAUUACAGCACAAAAUAUUAUCUGGCCUUGGAGAAAAUGUAAAACCACCAAACAAGCUUGGGCCUUUCUAUACAAGCCCACAAUUAAUUUAUCCAGCCAAACUCACGUGACGCACACAAUUAGUUAGUUAGUAUAGCCAAUAUACAAGCAGACACAUAGGAUUAGAUUUAGAUCUAGCGUAAAUAGGCAGCAAUUAUUUUUUUCUAUUCAUUAUCCUGUAAUCAUCUUAUUCUUCUUCAAUAUGCUAUAGUCUACAAAUCUCUGUAGAUUUCAUAUCCAUAUCUUUAUAUUAUAAUUUACAAUUCUGAUCAUGAUAUCAGAGUCUGAGAUUCAGUAACUCAAAUUCAUUCUAGCUCCAUCUCUAUCAUUUUUUCUUCCACAAGCAUCUGAUCAACUUAAUCAGCCAUGGUUACAACUCCACCAGGAGGAACAGAAAUCGAAGAAUCAUAAAAAUUGAGGCUACACAACUCUCAAUCCGACCACAAAUCUUGUGAGUGUAUUACUUCAUGGAAAUAAUUGCCUAUCUUGGAAUAAAUCUAUGUUGAUUGCAUUGAGAGUUGAAUAUAAGCUAGGGUUUAUUGAUGGCCUGUACAUUAAACCUUAAAUUAACUCACCUAUGUUAGAUAAAUGGAUGAGAGUAGAUAGUAUGGUGAUUUCAUGGAUCUUAAGUUCAAUCUCAAAAGACAUAGUAAAGAGUUUUUUAUAUGCUAGCUGUGCAUAGUAGAGAGGUUUUUAUAUGCUAACUGUGCAUAAGAACUUUGGGAAGAACUAGCACAGAGAUUUGGUGAGUGGAAUGGGCCCUUACUCUACCAAAUUAAACAAGAAAUCUCAAAUAUUAAGCAAGGUAACACCUCUAUUAUGAAUUACUUUACUAAGAUGAAGAAGCAGUGGGAUGAAUUGACAUGCUUAAGACCCUUACCUACAUGCACAUAUGGUGCCUCCAAGACUAUGAUAGAAUUAGAUAAUGAAGAUAAGUUGAUUCAAUUCUUGAUGGGCCUCAAUGAUUCAUAAGAUAAUGUAAGGAAUCAGAUCCUGUUAAUGGAACUGUUUCUUAGUGUAAACAGUGCAUAUUGAAUGGUUUUAAAGGUUGAGAAACAGAGGGAAGUCCACACGCUGACUUUUGAUUCAAAUGAGCACUCAUCAACUUUGUAUGCAAAUAUACCAAAUAGCAAUCAAAGGUUUAGUAACAAGGAUAAUAGAUUUUAUAACAAAAGAAAAGAGGACAGAUACUACAGUUAUUGUAAGAAGGGUGGUCACAUUAAAGAAACCUACUUCAAAUUUCAUAGAUAUCCAGAAUGGUUUGCAGGUUUCAAAUAGAAGAAAGCAUAAGCAAAUGUGAGUGAAGUCACACAGAUCUUUGAAACUCCUAUGGACAAUUCAACGGUGAUGAAUGCAGCAGUGUAUGGAGAGCAUAAUGACAGCAUUGCAAAGCUGGUUCAACAGGAAGUAAUUAAGAUAAUGAAACGCAAAGAGAUACAGAACUACCACUCCAGUGGAGAUGUAGACAAUGCAAAUAACAUAAGCUUUGCAGGAUAUGCAGAAUGAUGAGAUUAUUGCUAUUGGGAAGGUGACUGGAGGGCCAUAUCUUUAAAUAAUACUUCCUUUUGUCCUAAUACUACAUGUAAUGUUUCUAUUGCUUGUGAAAACCAUAAUAACAACAUGGGGAUGCUUUGGCAUGCUAGACUAGGACACAUUUCAAACAAUAGAUUGAGACAUAUACCAAUAAUAUUGAAUGCAUGUGUUGAAUUUGAUGACUGUUGUAUUUGUCCACAAUCGAAAUAGCAAAGCUUACCAUUUCCUACCA